This 562-nucleotide ribosomal RNA is filed under the name uncultured bacterium. RNAcentral's name for it is "partial 16S ribosomal RNA". It matches the Rfam family "Bacterial small subunit ribosomal RNA", at positions 356 to 1375 of the family's 1533-position model. The record is from RNAcentral.
UGGGAAUAUUGGACAAUGGGCGCAAGCCUGAUCCAGCCAUGCCGCGUGAGUGAUGAAGGCCUUAGGGUUGUAAAGCUCUUUCGCCGGUGAAGAUAAUGACGGUAACCGGAGAAGAAGCCCCGGCUAACUUCGUGCCAGCAGCCGCGGUAAUACGAAGGGGGCUAGCGUUGCUCGGAAUCACUGGGCGUAAAGCGCACGUAGGCGGAUCGUUAAGUCAGGGGUGAAAUCCUGGAGCUCAACUCCAGAACUGCCCUUGAUACUGGCGAUCUCGAGUUCGAGAGAGGUUGGUGGAACUCCGAGUGUAGAGGUGAAAUUCGUAGAUAUUCGGAAGAACACCAGUGGCGAAGGCGGCCAAACUGGCUCGAUACUGACGCUGAGGUGCGAAAGCGUGGGGAGCAAAACAGGAUUAGAUACCCUGGUAGUCCACGCCGUAAAACGAUGGAUGCUAGCCGUUGGGGGGUUUGCCUCUCAGUGGCGCAGCUAACGCCUUAAGCAUCCCGCCUGGGGAGUACGGUCGCAAGAUUAAAACUCAAAUGAAUUGACGGGGUCAUAGCUGUUUCCU